UUGGAGGGCAAGUCUGGUGCCUGCAGCCGCGGUAAUUCCAGCUCCAAUAGCGUAUAUUAAAGUUGUUGCAGUUAAAAAGCUCGUAGUUGAAUUUCGGGGUCAGUAGAUUGGUCAUGCCACUGGUAUGUACUGGUCUCACUGAUUCCUCCUUCCUGAUGAGCCGUAAUGCCAUUAAUUUGGUGUUGCGAGGAACCUGGACUGUUACUUUGAAAAAAUUAGAGUGUUUAAAGCAGGCUAACGCUUGAAUACAUUAGCAUGGAAUAAUGAAAUAGGACGUUCGAUCUUAUUUUGUUGGUUUCUAAGAUUGACGUAAUGAUUAAUAGGGAUAGUUGGGGGCAUUAGUAUUCAAUUGUCAGAGGUGAAAUUCUUGGAUUUAUUGAAGACUAACUACUGCGAAAGCAUUUGCCAAGGAUGUUUUCAUUAAUCAAGAACGAAAGUUAGGGGAUCGAAGACGAUCAGAUACCGUCGUAGUCUUAACCAUAAACUAUGCCGACUAGGGAUCGGAUGAUGUUAAUUUUUUAAUGACUCAUUCGGCGCCUUACGGGAAAC
RNAcentral lists this ribosomal RNA (549 nucleotides) under uncultured Glomus. Its description in RNAcentral is "SSU rRNA". It matches the Rfam family "Eukaryotic small subunit ribosomal RNA", at positions 548 to 1098 of the family's 1831-position model. Lineage: Eukaryota; Fungi; Glomeromycota; Glomeromycetes; Glomerales; Glomeraceae. The record is from RNAcentral.